AGUGAACGCUGGCGGUAGGCCUAACACAUGCAAGUCGAACGGCAGCACAGUAAGAGCUUGCUCUUACGGGUGGCGAGUGGCGGACGGGUGAGGAAUACAUCGGAAUCUACUUUUUCGUGGGGGAUAACGUAGGGAAACUGACGCUAAUACCGCAUACGACCUACGGGUGAAAGCAGGGGAUCUUCGUACCUUGCGCGAUUGAAUGAGCCGAUGUCGGAUUAGCUAGUUGGCGGGGUAAAGGCCCACCAAGGCGACGAUCCGUAGCUGGUCUGAGAGGAUGAUCAGCCACACUGGAACUGAGACACGGUCCAGACUCCUACGGGAGGCAGCAGUGGGGAAUAUUGGACAAUGGGCGCAAGCCUGAUCAAGCCAUACCGCGUGGGUGAAGAAGGCCUUCGGGUUGUAAAGCCCUUUUGUAGGGAAAGAAAAGCAGCAGGUUAAUACCCCGCUGUUCUGACGGUACCCAAAGAAUAAGCACCGGCUAACUUCGUG
This 492-nucleotide ribosomal RNA is filed under the name uncultured bacterium. RNAcentral describes it as "partial 16S ribosomal RNA". It matches the Rfam family "Bacterial small subunit ribosomal RNA", at positions 29 to 507 of the family's 1533-position model. The record is from RNAcentral.